RNAcentral lists this ribosomal RNA (1576 nucleotides) under Salmonella enterica. RNAcentral describes it as "bacterial LSU rRNA". It matches the Rfam family "Bacterial large subunit ribosomal RNA", at positions 1253 to 2812 of the family's 2925-position model. RNAcentral also lists the same sequence under 1 other name. The record is from RNAcentral. Lineage: Bacteria; Pseudomonadati; Pseudomonadota; Gammaproteobacteria; Enterobacterales; Enterobacteriaceae.
AAGGUGGCCUGUGAGGGUUGCUGGAGGUAUCAGAAGUGCGAAUGCUGACAUAAGUAACGAUAAAGCGGGUGAAAAGCCCGCUCGCCGGAAGACCAAGGGUUCCUGUCCAACGUUAAUCGGGGCAGGGUGAGUCGACCCCUAAGGCGAGGCCGAAAGGCGUAGUCGAUGGGAAACGGGUUAAUAUUCCCGUACUUGGUGUUACUGCGAAGGGGGGACGGAGAAGGCUAUGUUGGCCGGGCGACGGUUGUCCCGGUUUAAGCGUGUAGGUGUGUGUUCCAGGUAAAUCCGGUUCACUUUAACACUGAGGCGUGAUGACGAGGCACUACGGUGCUGAAGCAACAAAUGCCCUGCUUCCAGGAAAAGCCUCUAAGCAUCAGGUAACAUCAAAUCGUACCCCAAACCGACACAGGUGGUCAGGUAGAGAAUACCAAGGCGCUUGAGAGAACUCGGGUGAAGGAACUAGGCAAAAUGGUGCCGUAACUUCGGGAGAAGGCACGCUGACACGUAGGUGAAGUGAUUUACUCAUGGAGCUGAAGUCAGUCGAAGAUACCAGCUGGCUGCAACUGUUUAUUAAAAACACAGCACUGUGCAAACACGAAAGUGGACGUAUACGGUGUGACGCCUGCCCGGUGCCGGAAGGUUAAUUGAUGGGGUCAGCGCAAGCGAAGCUCCUGAUCGAAGCCCCGGUAAACGGCGGCCGUAACUAUAACGGUCCUAAGGUAGCGAAAUUCCUUGUCGGGUAAGUUCCGACCUGCACGAAUGGCGUAAUGAUGGCCAGGCUGUCUCCACCCGAGACUCAGUGAAAUUGAACUCGCUGUGAAGAUGCAGUGUACCCGCGGCAAGACGGAAAGACCCCGUGAACCUUUACUAUAGCUUGACACUGAACAUUGAGCCUUGAUGUGUAGGAUAGGUGGGAGGCUUUGAAGUGUGGACGCCAGUCUGCAUGGAGCCGACCUUGAAAUACCACCCUUUAAUGUUUGAUGUUCUAACGUGGACCCGUAAUCCGGGUUGCGGACAGUGUCUGGUGGGUAGUUUGACUGGGGCGGUCUCCUCCUAAAGAGUAACGGAGGAGCACGAAGGUUGGCUAAUCCUGGUCGGACAUCAGGAGGUUAGUGCAAUGGCAUAAGCCAGCUUGACUGCGAGCGUGACGGCGCGAGCAGGUGCGAAAGCAGGUCAUAGUGAUCCGGUGGUUCUGAAUGGAAGGGCCAUCGCUCAACGGAUAAAAGGUACUCCGGGGAUAACAGGCUGAUACCGCCCAAGAGUUCAUAUCGACGGCGGUGUUUGGCACCUCGAUGUCGGCUCAUCACAUCCUGGGGCUGAAGUAGGUCCCAAGGGUAUGGCUGUUCGCCAUUUAAAGUGGUACGCGAGCUGGGUUUAGAACGUCGUGAGACAGUUCGGUCCCUAUCUGCCGUGGGCGCUGGAGAACUGAGGGGGGCUGCUCCUAGUACGAGAGGACCGGAGUGGACGCAUCACUGGUGUUCGGGUUGUCAUGCCAAUGGCACUGCCCGGUAGCUAAAUGCGGAAGAGAUAAGUGCUGAAAGCAUCUAAGCACGAAACUUGCCCCGAGAUGAGUUCU